Molecule: ribosomal RNA, 481 nt
Filed under: uncultured bacterium
Lineage: Bacteria
Description: partial 16S ribosomal RNA
Rfam family: Bacterial small subunit ribosomal RNA
Source: RNAcentral
GACGAACGCUGGCGGCGUGCUUAACACAUGCAAGUCGAACGCUGAAGCCCUUCGGGGUGGAUGAGUGGCGAACGGGUGAGUAACACGUGGGUAAUCUGCCCUGCACUCUGGGAUAAGCCUUGGAAACGGGGUCUAAUACCGGAUAGGACACAUCGCCGCAUGGUGUGUGUGUGGAAAGUUCCGGCGGUGCAGGUUGAGCCCGCGGCCUAUCAGCUUGUUGGUGGGGGGAUGGCCUACCAAGGCGACGACGGGUAGCCGGCCUGAGAGGGUGACCGGCCACACUGGGACUGAGAGACGGCCGAGACUCCUACGGGAGGCAGCAGUGGGGAAUCUUGCGAAAUGGGCGAGAGCCUGACGAAGCAACGCCGCGUGGGGGAUGACGGCCUUCGGGUUGUAAACCUCUUUCGACCGGGACGAAGGAUUCGUUUGACGGUACCGGUAGAAGAAGCACCGGCUAACUACGUGCCAGCAGCCGCGGUAA